RNAcentral lists this ribosomal RNA (860 nucleotides) under gut metagenome. RNAcentral's name for it is "bacterial SSU rRNA". It matches the Rfam family "Bacterial small subunit ribosomal RNA", at positions 8 to 865 of the family's 1533-position model. The record is from RNAcentral.
AGAGUUUGAUCCUGGCUCAGGACGAACGCUGGCGGCGCGCCUAACACAUGCAAGUCGAACGGAGCUGUUUUCUCUGAAGUUUUCGGAUGGAAGAGAGUUCAGCUUAGUGGCGAACGGGUGAGUAACACGUGAGCAACCUGCCUUUCAGUGGGGGACAACAUUUGGAAACGAAUGCUAAUACCGCAUAAGACCACAGUGUCGCAUGGCACAGGGGUCAAAGGAUUUAUCCGCUGAAAGAUGGGCUCGCGUCCGAUUAGCUAGAUGGUGAGGUAACGGCCCACCAUGGCGACGAUCGGUAGCCGGACUGAGAGGUUGAACGGCCACAUUGGGACUGAGACACGGCCCAGACUCCUACGGGAGGCAGCAGUGGGGAAUAUUGCACAAUGGGGGAAACCCUGAUGCAGCGACGCCGCGUGGAGGAAGAAGGUCUUCGGAUUGUAAACUCCUGUCCCAGGGGACGAUAAUGACGGUACCCUGGGAGGAAGCACCGGCUAACUACGUGCCAGCAGCCGCGGUAAAACGUAGGGUGCAAGCGUUGUCCGGAAUUACUGGGUGUAAAGGGAGCGCAGGCGGAUUGGCAAGUUGGGAGUGAAAUCUAUGGGCUCAACCCAUAAAUUGCUUUCAAAACUGUCAGUCUUGAGUGGUGUAGAGGUAGGCGGAAUUCCCGGUGUAGCGGUGGAAUGCGUAGAUAUCGGGAGGAACACCAGUGGCGAAGGCGGCCUACUGGGCACUAACUGACGCUGAGGCUCGAAAGCAUGGGUAGCAAACAGGAUUAGAUACCCUGGUAGUCCAUGCCGUAAACGAUGAUUACUAGGUGUGGGAGGAUUGACCCCUUCCGUGCCGCAGUUAACACAAUAAGU